UACGUAGGGUGCAAGCGUUGUCCGGAAUUAUUGGGCGUAAAGAGCUCGUAGGCGGUUUGUCGCGUCGAAUGUGAAAACCCGGGGCUCAACCCCGGGCCUGCACGCGAUACGGGCAGACUAGAGUUCGGUAGGGGAGUCUGGAAUUCCUGGUGUAGCGGUGAAAUGCGCAGAUAUCAGGAGGAACACCGGUGGCGAAGGCGGGACUCUGGGCCGAUACUGACGCUGAGGAGCGAAAGCGUGGGGAGCAAACAGG
This 253-nucleotide ribosomal RNA is filed under the name uncultured bacterium. Its description in RNAcentral is "partial 16S ribosomal RNA". It matches the Rfam family "Bacterial small subunit ribosomal RNA", at positions 524 to 776 of the family's 1533-position model. The record is from RNAcentral.